AAGACCUUGCGCUUUUGGAGCGGCCGAUGCCUGAUUAGCUUGUUGGUGAGGUAAAAGCUCACCAAGGCUUCGAUCAGUAGCUGGUCUGAGAGGACGACCAGCCACACUGGGACUGAGACACGGCCCAGACUCCUACGGGAGGCAGCAGUGGGGAAUUUUGGACAAUGGGGGAAACCCUGAUCCAGCCAUGCCGCGUGAGUGAAGAAGGCCUUCGGGUUGUAAAGCUCUUUCAGCCGGAACGAAACGGUUACGGUUAAUACCCGUAACUACUGACGGUACCGGAAGAAGAAGCACCGGCUAACUACGUGCCAGCAGCCGCGGUAAUACGUAGGGUGCGAGCGUUAAUCGGAAUUACUGGGCGUAAAGCGUGCGCAGGUGGUUUUGCAAGUCAGAUGUGAAAUCCCCGGGCUCAACCUGGGAACU
This 423-nucleotide ribosomal RNA is filed under the name uncultured bacterium. Its description in RNAcentral is "bacterial SSU rRNA". It matches the Rfam family "Bacterial small subunit ribosomal RNA", at positions 207 to 622 of the family's 1533-position model. The record is from RNAcentral.